RNAcentral lists this ribosomal RNA (302 nucleotides) under uncultured Spathidium. RNAcentral's name for it is "partial large subunit ribosomal RNA". It matches the Rfam family "Eukaryotic large subunit ribosomal RNA", at positions 40 to 350 of the family's 3401-position model. Lineage: Eukaryota; Ciliophora; Litostomatea; Haptorida; Spathidiidae. The record is from RNAcentral.
AUAUUACUAAGCGGAGGAAAAGAAAUUAACAAAGAUUGCCUUAGUAAGGGCGACUGAACCGGCAAAAGCUCAAAAUUGGAAUCGAAGCUUCAAUGAAUCUUCGAAUUGUAAUCAGGCCAGCCUAGAUACGAGAGUUAGUUUAAGUACGUCGAAACGUACGCCAAGGAGGGUGAAAGCCCCGUGUAGCUUUCUCUCGAGUAAGGUGAGCCCCACAAGAGUCGGGUUGCUUGGAACUGCAGCCUAGCGGGAGAUAUGAAUCUUCCAAAGCUAAAUAAGGAUGGGAGACCGAUAGCGCACAAGUA